GACGAACGCUGGCGGCGUGCUUAACACAUGCAAGUCGAACGGAAAGGCCCUGAUCUUGCGGGGUGCUCGAGUGGCGAGCGGGUGAGUGACACGUGAGUAACAUGCACUUGAAUUUGGGAUAACUUCAGGAAAAUGGGGAUAAUACCGGAUAGGAGCUCUUGCAGCAUGGGGGGGGAUGGAGAGUUUCGGCGGUGGUGGAUGGACUCGAGGCAUAUCAGCUUGUUGGGGGGGUAGGGGUUUACAAAGGCUUUGACGGGUAGCCGGCCUUAGAGGUUGAACGGGCACAUUGGGACUGAGAUACGGCCCAGACGCCUACGGGCGGCAGCAGUGGGGAGUAUUGCACAGUGGGCGCAAGCCUGAGGCAGCAGCGCCGCGUGCGGGAUGACGGCCUUCUGGUUGUAAACCGCUUUCGCCGGUGACGAAGCGUUAUUGACGGUAAUGGGUAAAGAAGCACCGGCUAACUACGUG
Molecule: ribosomal RNA, 468 nt
Filed under: uncultured bacterium
Lineage: Bacteria
Description: partial 16S ribosomal RNA
Rfam family: Bacterial small subunit ribosomal RNA
Source: RNAcentral